UAUAAACAAACUCAUAUAAAAUUUAAUACUAUUCAACCUGUUUGUAUUUUUUUCAUACAUAUAUUAAUAUAAUAUAAUAAAAGAAUCUACUAUUUUUUAUAAUUUUAUUUUAUACAGAAUUAUUUAUUCAUUUAAUUUAAUAUAUUAUUUACUAUUAUUGUACAUGUUUUAUAUAUCUAUAUUUAACUCAAACUUUAAUUUUAGAA
This 206-nucleotide long non-coding RNA is filed under the name Lathyrus oleraceus (garden pea). Its description in RNAcentral is "Pisum sativum (pea) long non-coding RNA (PSAT_LNC033333)". Lineage: Eukaryota; Viridiplantae; Streptophyta; Magnoliopsida; Fabales; Fabaceae. The record is from RNAcentral.